AUACUCUGGUUUCUCUUCAGAUCGAAUAAAUCUUUUGCCUUUUUUUCUAAAGAUUUCCGAGGAGAUGAUCAUCCAUGAGUUUUUUUAAAAAAAAAAUAAAAAGGAGUUUUUUU
Molecule: small nuclear RNA, 113 nt
Organism: Bombina bombina (fire-bellied toad)
Lineage: Eukaryota; Metazoa; Chordata; Amphibia; Anura; Bombinatoridae
Product: U5 spliceosomal RNA
Exons: 1
Source: RefSeq, a predicted model, not a curated record